ACAGACCCCAGAAGGUACCAAAUGAAAGGUACAACUAGUAAGGUCUAAAACAGUGAAUACAGACCGCAGACAAUAUCAAAUGAAAGAUACGUCUAGCAAGGUCUAAAACAAUGAACGCAGUGAACACAGUGAAUACAGUGGAUUCUGUGAAUACAGUGGAUACAGACCCCAGACAGCAUCAAAUGAAAGAUACGUCUUGUAAGGUCAAAACAGAGGAGACAGACCCCAGACAGUAUCAAAUGAAAGAUACGUCUUGUAAGGUCAAAACAGUGUGACUCUGAAAAUGAAUUACCAGCAUACAGUGUAAAUUGCUGGCGAAAUACCGUUACCUUAAGGCCAUGAAUUAUAAGGUAACCCGGGAUACUCGUAACCAUACUAACCGACACUAGAGUACCAGACGCCCUACAAGCGUCUAUAUAAUGUGACAUUUGUCACCCCUUGGCUUGGUGAGCCGUGGACUGUAGCUAGCAGUCAGGGUGCGGGGGUGUCAAUCCCGUAUAGAUCUAUACACACAAUGUCCGCUCUCCCUACAGGAGACUCUGGUUACCAACUAGACGACGGAGAAGGCCGUGUCCCGAAGAUGCAUCCCAAAUAGUGGGUAAUGACUUCCAAACAGUGGGUAGUGGGUUUCUAAUGUAAGUGUUGACCUAGAGGUAGAGACUCUUAACUGAAUUGACUGAAGAAAACCCGUAUGUCUAUGCUUGUGUACAUAAUAUAUAAAUAAUGAAUCAAACGACCUUCGGAUGGACAUUCGAUCCCACCAGACCACAUCUCAAUGAAGAAAAGGAAAUAGGGCGGACAAGCCUUCCUAAGUCCUUCAAUCAUUAUUUAUAUGCAUCUAUACAAGCAUAAACAUACAUCUAACUACGCUUGAGUGUGUAUCAAGUGGUAUCAUACAGUGAAGUAUAAGUGUACAGUGGAACAUCCGAGUCGUGAAGUAUAAGCGUACAGUGGAACAUCCGAGUCGUGAAGUAUAAGCGUACAGUGGAACAUCCGAGUCGUGAAGUAUAAGCGUACAGUGGAACAUCCGAGUCGUGAAGUAUAAGCGUACAGUGGAACAUCCGAGUCGUGAAUUAUAAGCGUACAGAGUGGGAUAAUCGAACCGUGAAGUAUAAGUGUACCAAGUAUAAGUGUAUCACGAAGCAGCGACGACAAUAAGUGAAGUAAGAGCGUCUAUCAAGUAUAAGAGGCUACAAGUAUAAGCGAUAUAGAGACAAAAUCCGGUAUAAGCGUAUCGCGAAGUGAAAGCGUUAUCGAGUAGGAAUUUAAAAUAAGUAAAAGUGAAGCAACAGUAACUAACAAGUGAAAGUAUUCAUGAAAACCUUGGAAAAACCUUAUUACUCAGGAAAAUCACAUUUGUAUUCUUUGGUAAAAUAAGUGUGAAAACCUUUAAAAAUCUUUGGGAAUCUUUCAUAAAUCAGUUUGAAAAUGGAGCUUUGAUAAAGCAAUAAAAGUAAGAACUUGAACAAGUGAAAAAACCCUUUUUGAAAGCCAUUUAUAGUGUCCUACUCGGUAAAACAGUGUACAGUGGUAAAAUCUUGUGCAUGCGGGUUAUCAAUCACAUGUGAUUGAUAUGAUAACUGGCAUGUUUAACUUGUAUUCCCCCCCAUAAAACAUGUAAAAACAUUUAAAAGGUUCAUUCAGGGGUAUGAACUCACCUGGUGUAAGUAGGUCCGACGAAGGUGCCGUUUGGGCGUUCGGUGUCACGCAAGGACUUGAACACACACAAUGACCUAUUUAACAUAUGAUAACAUAUGUUUACAUACAAUUAGCAUAUUUAAUACUAAUUAAACAAAUAUACGCGCUCACAGGAGCGGAAAACACUUUGGUUAAGUGUUUGGGUGUCCCGGGUAGCGUUUAAGGGUGUCAAUGGCUAAGGAAUGGAGCUUACUAUCCAAGAGUACACUCCCAAUGUUGUGUUUACGGCCCAGGGACAUCUCACCAUGAGUUUACGGCCGUAAACUCAUGGUGAUGGGUUCUAGGGUGUUUAAGGCUUCUAGCUUGCUCAUGGAAUUAUUCUAAGUACUUUUCAUAAAAGGCAUGAGUGGUUUUGAGGCUUCUAAGGGCAUUAACUUGGAGUUUACGGCCUAGGGACACUCCUAAGGGAGUUUACGGCCGUAAACUCUCACCCUUAGAGUUUUGUGAAGUUUCAAGCCCCUAUUACCUUUCUAGCAAUUUCUAAUGAAGUGUGAUGCUAUUUUGGGGGAUUAAAACUAUCAUUUGGAUGUGUUUUGGGGAGUUUACGGCCUAGACACUUGCUUGGGCCGUAAACUCCUUUUAGUCCCUCCAUUUCUUGUGUUUAAGCCCUUAAAUCCUUCCUAGUAUUUUAUGGUAAAUGUCUAAGGCCAUUUGGGGAAGCAAAACCACACUUUGGGCAUGAUUUGGGGUGUUUACGGCCUUGGUAUAGACCUGGGCCGUAAACUCCUUUUUAUCCUUCAUUUUAAUGUGUUUAAUUGAUCCAAACCCCAAAUACUAAGUCCCUAAAUUAUGUAUGAAGCCUAAGGGUGGUUUGGGAGUGUUUUUGGGGCAUUUUGACAUGGUUUUGAGGGGUUUACGGCCUAAGCAUGUGCUUGGGCCGUAAACUCACUUUUAUGCCCUAAAUCAUUGUGUUUUGAUGUUUAAACACUCCUAGGCUAGAUCCCUAAUUAGUUUCCAAGCUUAAGGGCAAGUUUAAAGGCAUGUUUGGCACCAUUUUAGGGGUUUACGGCCCUAGAGUGUUCCUGGGCCGUAAACUCCUUAUCCCAUGCCUUCUUGGAUGGUUUUUGGGCUAUAACUACAGCUAGUAAUGUUUAGAACAAGCUAGGGUAAGCGGACUUACAAUUUGGAAGCAUUUGGUUGCAAAUUCUGGGCGAAAACGGGUCUAGAGAGAGAGUGUAAAAAGUCUCCAAUGGACUCCACUCACCCUUAUAUAGGGUUCAUAGUCGGGGCUCAGCGGAAUUUUACCCGAUACUACCGUUAAACGAGGCUUUUGGUCGCACUCGAUUUAGUGGUUGUAAUAAUAAAACUUAACAUUUUCCAAAUAAAUGGAAAUGUGUGUCCUUUGUUUUCAUUUCCUUUUAUCACGACUUAAUCGCAUGUUAAAUGUAAGCAAAUGGAAUGUUUAUUAAAUUGACGCCCUCUAAUUAACGGAACUUUUAUACAGUGGAAUAUUCCAUUAACGGUAACGGGGAAAUGUAACGGGACAAUUUCGGUUGUCACAUCAUCCCCCCGUUAGAGGGAAUUUUGUCCCGAAAUUCAGGUCUAAUGAAGGAAGUAGGUAUGAAUGGCCAUGUAUAGGUAAGAGAGUACUUCCUAUACGGUUGUCCUCGCAUUCCCAUGUGAUCUCUGGUCUGUGUUUGUCAUUCCAACAGACCCUCACGUACGGGAUGCGGAUUCCGUCUAGUGUAGCUAGUGGGUUUCCAACUUGUGUAUCUAUAGGGUUAGAGAUCUCAAUGGAUUCUAUCAAGAUGAUUAAGGCACGAAGAGUGUUGUCGGGAAUCACAUAUCCAGUCUACGAAGUGGAUCGAUCGGGUGUGAAUCCUGUGGUAUAUCCGAGGGUAGUAACGGCUUGAAAGGGGUUGGACCAUGACUCCAUGAGGAUUCUCGGAUGGUCCUACGCUCUCGGAAUGGGUAGAGCUUCUCAGUACUAAGAACAUAGUGUACGUCUAUGGCAAGAUCAUCACUGGCGUGAUCGCCAUUCCGAAGUUCCUAACGUUCUCUCUCGUAUUGGUAGUGUAGUCCUUCAGGUUGGUUCUUAGAAAUCUCAAGUGGUCUUUGGUUUUAUGUUUUCUGUCAACUGGCUGAUAUAGACUUUCUAGGUCGUCGAGUGGGUUGCGUGACUAUGGUUAUCGGUUUGCUGUAGAGUGUCUAUCUCAAGUUUGUGCAAAAUGGACAUGCACUAACGGGUGUUGGACUAUCUCGGGAGGUGGUUCUACUAUCUCUACGUGAGAUAGUAUUCGUGGAACACCUAAUAGUCCAAUGAAUCUCUAAGACUUCGGUUUAUUCUGGUGUGGAAAGUGCAUGCUCCUGCAUAACCCCUCGACUAACACCAAGGCUGGUGUCGAGUCUAUAAUCUCUUCGGGAUCAGGGUUACGAGGCUUAACGCAACCACGUUCACACUUUACCAAGUAUUCUUGGCUGCGAAGGUUAUCCUGUGGUUCUCGGUAUCCUAGUGUUCACUUCAGAGAAUGAAGUCUAUCGUCUAAAGGGCGACGACGAUUUCCUCCAUACGAGAGGGUGGAGGAUGAUAGGCACUGCUCGUCUAUAACUGGGCGGACGAAGUGCCUGAGUAACGCGAGCAUAAUCUACAACUACUCCUCCGAAGGUUCUGAGUUUUCUCGGUCUAGGUCAAAUCUAGUGGGUAUAGGGUCUCCCGGGGGAUUCUACGGAGUAUGCUUCGGAUGGUGGUCGUCUUCUUAGAGUAUCUGCAGUGCCUUUUGCUUCGGUGUUUAUCUGACUACGAGGGGUCGGUCAACAGUGUGCGGUACCUUCCCUUGGGUACUUCGGAAGGUUUUGGGAUAAGAGGGACGAUUGACGGAUCGCAUUAGGUUUGAUUAUUUGUGUUAGGUUUAGGUUCUGAUGAACCUUUAUUUGCCGACAUGGCUACGGAGAAAGUUCUUUUACACAACACUAAAGGUGAACACAUGGUUGAACGAAGUCAAACCAUGAUUGAUAGGGUCGUCAAAGUUGGCACACUUCGAUCUGAUAUAAAGUGAAGAUCGAUAGAGUCAUGUGCCGAACAGGCACACAAGUUCUAGGCGUCUCGGGGUUUCGUCCUAUGUAUCACUACCGCGGAUACUUGGACCAAUAGAGUCGACGCGGAACUAUAGAGAGCCCUAAGUGUUUCCAAAUAGAGUAUCUUUUCAUGAACGGAUUCUCACGAGGCAUUUCUAUAAUCGCCUCACAUAUACUAGUCAUGUAUAUUUAAGGUGGGGAGGACUAUUGACUGAGCGACCCCGCCCUAAAUCCACAACCAAACGAGGAACAGGAAAUGAGGCGGCAUUCACUCACUCUAGGUCUGUCCAUCUUAAAUAUACAUGGCCGUAACGUAUAUGUUUAGCCAUUAUAGUUUUACCUAAUGAAUUUUAAAUUUUAUAACAGUGCUGCGACUUUCGCCUUACUGGGAAGAAUUUACACUUGAAUUAGUCUUUUGUUGUUCUUAGUUUAGUUAUCCGAGAUCGAGAGACGUACCAAAAAUCUAACGAGUUCCUUGCUGCUUCUCCCUAAGCAGUAGUGUCAGGCUCCUUCAGUGUCUUUGUUGUUUCUUUCAGUUGGGCAAUCCCUUUUGAAGUGUCCCAUUUUACCACAUAGGUGGCAAACUGUACGGGUCGCCACAUUGGUGGUUGAUGUAAUGAACUCAACUGGGGUUCUGCAGACGCGAGCAGUAUGCCCCAACAUGUGGCACCUAGCACAAUAGAGUUCCCGGCAGGCACCAUGAUGAUGGUAGUUGCACUUGCUGCAGUGGGGAAGGUCUCCUAGGUAUGGUUUUCUUGGAGUCGGGAGGGAAGGAUUUACAGGAGCAUUGGCCGUCUCAGCUCGUCGCCCUUCGGAAGGUCCUUGAGCCGAGGUACUUCCCUACUCAAUCUUGAGUUUCCUCUUUAGUGGGUUCGAUUGAGGUUCUUGGAUGACUGGGUAUGAAAGUGUUGGUUGCUGCUGUCCAUCGCCAGGAUUGGAAAUCCCGACAGGGGCCUUGCUAACAUUGGCAGGGUUAGCAUUCAGGUGAGCCAUGACAGCUGCUACGGCUNCUGCAGCUUGGAACGUAGCUUCAUCGAAUAAGAGAGCAGGUUUCUUGCUUGUGGUUUGGUUACGCUUCUUCGGUGGCAUGGUUUUUCCUACAUGGAAAUGAAUACAAGAUAAUGAGGGACGAUAGUUAACCCUGGACAUUUCUGUCCUGAACGUAUUAGGCAUAAAUAUUUCUCGUGCCUCGGGUACUGGUUGUCUGAGUGCCGACCUACAUCCCUAUGAUGUAGUCCUGGUAAUCGAAGUGAGUGUAUGAGUAUCGGAAAAAGGCCAUAAGAUGCGAGUCGUUCCUACUAAGUUACCUUUAUACUAGAGAAGGUUUCACUCACCGGCCUGGAGAUAUUUGAGAACAGUUCGGAACGAAACUGCGGAAAGAGAGGCUCACAAGGGCAGAUGGCUAAAAUUCUCUCAGUAAAGAUGCGGGGAUCCGCCCUAAUCAUGUAUUUGGAAAUGGGAAACGACGAUUUACCUAACACAUAGUGUGAGUAGUGUAACCACUAACUCACUAAAUUGUAUUAUUUUAAGGGUGAACUAUCGUGAUGAAUACGAGGAAAAGACAAUUCUCGGGUUUCAUGUACUGGCUACCUUUGUCUGCCUCGUAUCUUUGACUGGAAUCGGCGUUGGUUUCCUUUGGGUAGUUUCCUAGGGUUCUCUUCUCGUAUGGACAUAUUGAAUUUCUACUCCGCCUUCCUUCUGAUUCCAACUGUGGGUGUCAUCACUUCAUGAUGGAUGACUGGGAAUCUCCAAGGUUUAGGUGAAUUCCUCACCGAAUGUCCCUAAAAGAAUAUAGGCACCUGGUGAAUUCAAUAGUCUCGACCCAGUUCAUUUAUUUACGAACAGGAAAUCUUCUCAAUGAACCUUUUCAGGGUCGGAAUCAACUCUUCUGUCAAGCACUGAAGUGGGUAGGAUUUUCUACAGGGUUCACGCGAGAAUGGAAAUGUCUAAAGAAUCCUAAGAGAUUAUUAACAUUUCACUGGAUGAUCCAUAUCGAGUCCUGCUAUGAUUACACAGGGUAUACAAAUCAUAUAUAGCUUAAAUCCGAUAGGCCUUCGAAUAUGUGAUACUACUCUAGAACCACAUCCCAACGAGGAAAAGGAAAUAGAGCGAAACCACACAUUCUUAGCCUAUGGGAUCCUUAUUAUAUAUAACUCUGGGAGUAUACUCUCUGUAGUUGUAGGUAUAUCAAUAAGGAUCUUUUUAGUUAUUCACGCAAGGUUGCUUAUGUAUUCUAAAAUACCCCUAUGGUAUUUUAAUUCUUGUUUGAUUCUUAUCUUCUGAAUAUGAUUCUGGGUUUAUUGUGAAUCUUUUAGCGUUCCAAAAUACUCCUAUAGUAUUUUAACUUUACGUUUGGCUCUAGCAUUCCUAGUUUGUAAGUUUCAGACCUGUUGCACACCACUAUCACUCCCGAGCACACGUUCAUCGCAUCUCGGAUAAAUGUAGUUGAUUAGGUUACAUUUAUCCCAACUUACGAUUACAUAACUGCCCAAGUUUGACUGUAGGGCUCAACAUCCGAAGACUUUUAUUAUUGUUCUUCUUGUGAUACGUUUGUUUGAGUGUUUAGAUUUUGGAUGUUAUUAUACUUUGGUAAAAUAUGGUUAUAUUUUAAAGUAUAAUUCUUGGUCAGAGUGUUUUAUCCCAUUGUGUUUAUAGGUUGUAUAUCUUUUAUGAAUUGAUAUACUUAGCUCACUAUAAACAAUGCUCUGAUACCAAUCUGUCACACCCCAAAACCGGAACGGCGGAAACGUUCUGGGGUGGAUGACGUCAUGUCAAGUAUCACAACACAUGCAUUAUAGUAAUCAAAGUACAACAAAACAUUGCAUUAAUAGUAAUAUUUUUUACAUAGUUACAUUACAAUACAUCAAAGUAAUACAGACAAAUAUAAUAAGUACAGCAAGGUAAUAAGCUAUCUUCGUCAACUGCUCCGAGGUGUACCUGUCUAAUGCUAACCUGAGAAUACAAGUUAUUUGAAAAGCGAGUAUCAACAUUUUUACAAAUGCUGGUGAGUUCAUAAGCAUUUAGUGACGUUUUAUUCAAAUAACUUAAAUAAGUAAUAGUUUAAGUGUUUACUGUGUAUUAGAGUUCUUUCCAGAAAAUCCUAUAUUUUCUUUAAUAAAAGCAGCCUUCUACCAAGACUGGUCAGUGUUAUGUGGUAAAAAGUAGUUUUCCCUAAAUUGCUAUCAUUAUCAAAAUACUGAAUUUGAUUAUUAAAGAAAGCAAGAGACAACAGGGAAAUAACAUAUGCCUCAGCAGUGAGGACUGCUGACUAAGGCAAGGAAUCAUAGACUCCAGGAAAGUAUCGAACAAACGACACGCCUGGUUCAGUCUAACAAGUGGAGACACAGACCCCAGAAGGUACCAAAUGAAAGGUACAACUAGUAAGGUCUAAAACAGUGAAUACAGACCGCAGACAAUAUCAAAUGAAAGAUACGUCUAGCAAGGUCUAAAACAGUGAACACAGUGAAUACAGUGAAUACAGUGGAUUCUGUGAAUACAGUGGAUACAGACCCCAGACAGCAUCAAAUGAAAGAUACGUCUUGUAAGGUCAAAACAGAGGAGACAGACCCCAGAC
Molecule: long non-coding RNA, 8287 nt
Filed under: Lactuca sativa (garden lettuce)
Lineage: Eukaryota; Viridiplantae; Streptophyta; Magnoliopsida; Asterales; Asteraceae
Description: long non-coding RNA (LSAT_LNC005248)
Source: RNAcentral